Molecule: long non-coding RNA, 554 nt
Organism: Nilaparvata lugens (brown planthopper)
Lineage: Eukaryota; Metazoa; Arthropoda; Insecta; Hemiptera; Delphacidae
Exons: 3
Source: RefSeq, a predicted model, not a curated record
AAAGAGAAAACGCAAAUAGACCAAACAUAACCAGCUUGACCAACAUAACGGUUUAAAACUUCUACUGAUCAUUUUUCAGGUUAUGUUUAGCAUGAUUGUAAGAAGGAGAUUAGGUUAUGUUUUAUCAACAACCUGAACAGUCAGGUUAAGAUGUAACAAAGUACAGUAGAUACAAAAUUAUUCAUAACUUGGUAGGUUUAUUCUUAUAAAUAAGCCCUUCUUUAGCAGAAGACUUAUCAAACACAAAGACAUAAUAUUGAUGAAUUCGUUUAAAACAGAAAGUUGAAACGAUUAAUUGUAUGAUUAGGCUAUUCAUCACUGUACCAGGGAAUAACAGGCUGAUUGAGCUAUGGAUGAAACUUUCUGCUGGGUCUAUCCUGCUAGUUUAUUGCUGGUGAUCACCGUAUCAAUUAUCAGGCACGAAAAUAUGUCACAAAGACCGCAGGGACAGUUCAUCGUGUGUGUUGUUCCUCAUUCUGCAAAGGCAGUAGUGAACAUGAGUUAUCCUAUAGUUUGACACCGUACACAUCGUUUUACCAUUACCAUAGUUUAUC